UGAUCUCCUCCAAUUCAUUCCCAUGUCUAAGAUCAAAUUACCGCAUGGUGCUUAAGCAAUAAAAUCAAGAUCAGUUGUUUAACUGAGGCUCCAAUUCACUGGCAGCUACCAAUGCUGGAAGUGUCACUGCAGAGAAAAGGAGCUGCAUCACACUGCAAACAGAUAAAAUAACUGACAACAAAUGCAGGGCCAAAAGGCACAAUUCAGAGUACCUCAAAGAUAAUAGGUGCAUAAAAUUCAGUCACAAACACAUAUAAUCCUCACAUUACAUAAAACUCAGUCCUGGAACAUAGCCAGACUAGUAUUAAACAGCUAAACACAGGUAAAGCAACUUCCACAGCCACAACCGCAAAACAAAUCAGGAAUCACUCGGACAAUGCCAUCAUCCCUCAGAGUUCCGCUGCCUGGAUGUAAGAUGAUGCUUCCCCUCCCUCCAAGGCACCUACUUGGAUCGCUGCCUCAUCUUUCGGCGCUUCCUCUUGAGCCUCCUCAUCCUCUUCUUCUUCCACUGCACAUUAUCACAAAAAUGCAGAUCAUCAGUACAAAUUGCAUAGUGCUAGAUGCGCAGGAACAUGAGAUAAUUCCACAUGAAAAGAGAAAGUAGUAUGUGAUUUAGAAUCAGAAGAUUGAGUGUUUCACUGGAUAUCAUCACAUGAUUCUCAGAAACACGGACCAAUUGUUCUUCAUCAUGUUCCAAAACUGCCAAUUUGGCAUGGCGAAAAGAGAACUACUAAAGAAGGUCAUACCUAUCUACAAACUAGAUCUGCAGUCGGGUUGACAUUCAGAAUGAGUAGGAGGAUUUUAUCAUCAAAUAGAUCAGACGCCAUUUGUCUUCCUCAUCAUGGCAACCGACGCAACUGAUCUAAAGAAAGAACAAAUCUAGGAAAAACACUGGCAAAGAAAACACAGUUCUCUCAGACAAAUGCCUCGAUUGUCCACAUGGUGUAAUAGAAUGGAUUACAUCAGACUCGUCAUCUGUUUUCAUCAUCACAGAGAACUAUGCACAAAUGAAAACAGCAAAAAAAACGCAUAAAUCUGGCUAACAUAACUAGAAGCAGUAAUUAUAUAUCAUAGAGCAAGCAAAUCUGGUCGAAAUAGCAACGGUUCUCUCAGACAAAUGCCUCAUAUUGUCCCCACGGUUGAAUGGAAUGGAUUGAAUCGGACAUCUAAUCAGUGUUGAUCAUCACAGAGAACCACUACCUACGCAAGCGAGCGGCAGCAACAGCAAGAACGAACGCUCGGUAAGCACUAGCACAUGUCUAGAUCUACCACGGUCGGGACGCAGAUAACAGCAGGCGAGGUAGAAGACGGGCGGCAGUACGAACCUUGGCCCUCAUCGCGGCGGCGGUGUCGGCCUCGCUCUCCGGUUCGCGGGGAUGGCGGCGGCGGGAGUGUGUGGACGAACACCCUAGCGGCGGGGGCUCUCGUUAGAUUGUUGGCGGCGGGGGCUCUCGCCUCGUACUUAUACGGGCUGGGUGCUGAAGAGGGGGGAAACCCUAGCGGGGUUGGACGGGUGGACGGCUGGGAUCAGCCAAUGAACGGCGUUCUUAUCCGAUUAGUUGCUCUGGUAUGGGCCUGUUGGGCCUCCAAACAACGCCUAGGCCCACGCUAACAUUUGACUGGACUUGAUUUCCUAAAGGGAGGAAAAAGAAACUUGACCAGUCUUUACUUUAUUCUCUUGUUUUUUUAUUUUACUACUAGAACAAUGCCCGUGCGUUGCAACGGGAUAUAAAUAUUCUAGCACGUUAGCUUGUGAUUUACCUGUCAAUAAUAAUGUGAUUGUGUAAAUAAAUGUUCAUAAAAUUCUGACCAUGAAUUACCUUAUAUUUUGAUUAGAAGAUUGGUAAAUAAAUUAAAGUGGAGUUGAUUCAGAAGGUAAGUAAAUUAAGGUGAUUGAUUAUCAUAUACAUGGAAGACUGGACGAAGGGUUGGUGGAAAGAAAUAUGAAAUGUGAACCUUACGUUCUUUUUAAGUACUAGUAGAGAUUUAAAAAAAAAGAAUAGCAUUCCUUUUCCUGCCAGGCGGAGUGAUUCGUCCAACAUUCCCUUUUUCUAAUGAUCAUUCCUUGAAAACCGUCUUAAUCGUCUCAUCUUUUAUUGACUUGUCAAAUAAAUUUUAUUUUCUUUGGUAAGUCAAUAAGUGAUUACAAAAUAAAAUCACGGGCAAGAUUUGUUAAAUAUUUAUUUACACAAUCACAUAAUAUGAAGAUGUAAAUUAUGAGAUAAUGUAUUGUAAUAUAAUAUUUAUGCCCCGUAGCGACGCACGGGGAAAUAUCUAAUUUUACUAGAAAAAAGACUAAUACAUUGUGAUGGCGCUGGUGCGCAACUGUUGGUGCAGCACGAUUCAGGAUUAAUUAUACUAUUUUUAACACAAUAUAGACGCAAGCGCUCAUAUAUAUACGCGCAUAUACUCACCCCUAUGAAUGCACACACGUAUACCUUUUUUUUUGCGACAACAUAGAGCACCUCCGAAAGAUUGAGUCGGCAUACUAUCUACAUUUUACAAAGUCACCAUUGGCGCCUAUCCAGGAUAUAUAUGCGAGCAGCAAGACUUGAACCCUGCUGGGUUAGGGAUAUCACUGUCCUCCUAACCAUCCAACCACAUGUUGGUUCGCCACGACUAAUCAUACUGGUGUAGCCAAGUCUUAUUUAAAAACUAGGGAGGAAACUUUGUCCUAGUUGAACAACACGUUGCUGCGGUCUGAUGUAGUUGCUACUCGUUUGUUUCUAAAGUACCUUGUAAUCAAACUACUUGUGAUGAGAACAAAUCGAUAAAGUAUCUUGUAAUCAAACUACUGAGAUAAUUUGUACCUUCUCUCCAUACCCAUGUAUCAUCAAGUAGCCUCUUAAUGUAGUUUCCCUUUUCCCGCUUUGAAGCAAGUCUACGAAAAAAUGAUGUAUUCCGAUCUCCAUGAAGCAACCAAUUAGCUCGUCCUCUCUAUAACCAAAUCAAUUCUUCUUGGUACAGAAGAUUUUCAAUAUCUAGCCUACAAAAAAGAAGAUUCUCAAUAUUUGAAAAUCUUUUUUAUCCCUAAUCUCCCUGUCGAAUCACUUUGUCUCCAUUUUAAGGUCUUUUUUUAGCUUCGAUAUCCUCUUAUUUGGGCCUUUCAGAACCUCCCGAUCCCUCUGGUGUAGAUCUUUAUGAACAGCCUUGGUACGAUCAGACAAGGAUGGCCCCACACUAGCUAGCUUGCUCUCUCCCAAGCCAAUUGGACUACCGCAUUAACGGUUUCUUCACACAGCCAACGGGCUUCAAACUGUUUUCGGGCCUUCGGUUGUUGAGAAAAACAGAUUUAGAAUAAUUCUUAUGAAGGAGAAUAGGUCAAUGGUUUGAAUGGACAUGGUGCUCAUGAACCAAUGCAUAUGGCAAUUUAUCUGCACACGCCUCAUUACUUAGUGAUACCUUGGCUCCAGGUGAACUGGUCACCAAUAACAGUGGUCUAUUGAAGUCCACACAACCUCUGAAAUUAUGCAUCAACUGUUGAGGUCGAACAUUACCACCCUCCUUCUCACUUGCCACCAAUCUCUGAUUAAAAUCACAAAAACUAACCAUGGACCAGCCACAUUACAUUCCACAAGUAUGUCCAGGACAGGUGCUUCCGAUCCCAAGUUGGUUGUCCAUAAAAUCCUCAAGCGCCAUGAAGCAUUAUUUCCACCCAUAACAAUUCCAUCAAUAAAGUGUUUAGAAGAAUAAUUCAACAUCACUUCAUUAGACUGGUUAUAGAACAGGACAAGGUUCCCCGAGCAACCAUCACUCUCAACAAUAUGAGUAAAAUCAACCCUAGUUUAACUCUCAAAUCAAUUGCACUCGCUUUGUUCAUAUGUGAUUUAUAUAAGAAAAUCACAUAUGCUCUCACACUCCCUUGGAGGUCCAAGAGCUCUCAAACUGUCGUGGAUGAAAGCAUCCCACGACAGUUCCAAUCUAAGGUUUUCAUUGUGCCUGGCUGUCCUUCUCACCUGAGGCCACCAAUCCAUCAUUAGCAUUGCAGUCAAUUUCCGUCCAUCACUUCCCUUUAGUUUAAUUUUGUUUGCAUUUUUCCGAGGCCCACAAACCUUUUGUCUAGUACGUUUGAACCAAAAAAGAGUUAAAAUACAUGGUUUAGUCCACACUACGAGAAAGUGGCCGAACCAAAAUAAGCCACCUGAUUUUGAAAAUUCGACAAGUGCUUUAAGGUGACUUUGGUGUCCUUCCAACACCAUCCUUCGCGUCGUAUUGUCCAUGAAUCUUGCUUCCAUGAUGUACAUAUCCUCUUCUCCAAUCUCCACAACCUUCAGUCCUGUGGAUUUAAUUGUUGUGUACGAGCUUGCGUCAUUGAUCCUUGUGGGAUUACGGUCGUAGGUGUAGCAGGGGCUGUAAUGGUAGAAGAGGUGUCCCCAUCACUUAGUUUGGGGCAGGUGUUGGUGCUUUUUUAACACAGUACACAUGCAUGCGCUUAUAUAUAUACGCAUACACUCAUCCCUAUAAACAUAUACACGCAUACCUUACUCCUAUGAGCAUCUCGGAGAGACUAAGCCGGCAUAUCAUCUUGAGAUUGACGAAGUUACCAAAGGCGCCUCGUAGUUGACUGAAACGUCUCUUCCUACUGAAUGUGCAUCACCAAAAAUCCUGAAAUAAAUUCAAGAAUAAAUGCGAGCACCAGGACUUCAACCCUGCGGGCCUGGGGAUACCAUUGUUCACCUAACAAUCCAACCACAGGUAAUUGGUGUUACUAUGUACAGAUUUGGGGUCAUGAUGUCCGGAUAGCAGAUUGUGGAGCCUGUAUUUUUUGUUUCUAUAAUAGCCNNNNNNNNNNNNNNNNNNNNNNNNNNNNNNNNNNNNNNNNNNNNNNNNNNNNNNNNNNNNNNNNNNNNNNNNNNNNNNNNNNNNNNNNNNNNNNNNNNNNNNNNNNNNNNNNNNNNNNNNNNNNNNNNNNNNNNNNNNNNNNNNNNNNNNNNNNNNNNNNNNNNNNNNNNNNNNNNNNNNNNNNNNNNNNNNNNNNNNNNNNNNNNNNNNNNNNNNNNNNNNNNNNNNNNNNNNNNNNNNNNNNNNNNNNNNNNNNNNNNNNNNNNNNNNNNNNNNNNNNNNNNNNNNNNNNNNNNNNNNNNNNNNNNNNNNNNNNNNNNNNNNNNNNAUGAAUUGGUCACAGGUCAAUGGUUUUAACUUUCUACCUCAUGUUCAAAUAGGGGAAAUUCUUCACCCGGCCUAUCCAGCAUGUGGCAUCCGCCGCCUCUAGCGUGCGGACGCAUGUCAUGUGUGGACCCUCCACACCGCUCUGUCUUUUUUCUUAUUCCCACACAUGGUCGACCUUUGUUGAGAAAAAAAACUACAACAAGACCUCUGUUGCAAAAGUUUAUGCUCACGACCUCUAUUUUUGCAAAAAAAGAGCUUCUACAACAUGACCUAUGUUGCAAUGAUAGACAAUAGAAAAAAAGAAAAAUGAAGAGGCCAAGCACAACAAGGCUCAUGUUGCAUAGAUAGGAGGAAGAAAAACAUGGGUUGAGGCUUUUUGCAAUUAGUCCGUAGUUCGAGGCCUUUUGCAACAGGUCCUCUGUUCUAGAGAGACGGGUGCAACUACAUGCUUGUUGCAACUUCCUUUGCUCACGUGAAGAAGAUGUAGUGACUUUCUUUGUCUUAGUCCGACGGCUAUGGAUGUGGACAAUCUUUUCCAUUGCUUAAACCGGCCAACGCCUAGCAUGGCCCAUAAAAUAAUUCCCGGUGCCUUUCAAGCCUAUGCAACUCGUAUGGAACACACUUUCUACUCUUUUGACGUAUGGAUUGUCUCAUUGUUUCUAGAGGAAAUGAAUUUGGAAUUGAGAGGCAUGGAAGAGAUUGAUAUUUCUCAGUUGAGAAUUGAUGACAUGAAGGUACCCUGCUGCCCACCGCAUUGCAUGGUUUUGUGUGGGCCCAUAAUAUUUCAGCACCUAUAAAUGAGCUUAGUUUGGGCAUCAUGACAUUUAUGUGGGGCAAAACAACUUAUUUGUCGCGUCAUAGGCUCUCACCGGUUCCACGCCUCCCAACUAUAACCAUUCACAAAGAAUUAAGCAUACAACCAACCUAUUAUAUCAAGUUGUGCUGAGAGCAGAGCAUCUCCAAUAACUGCCCUAUAAUAGGGCACCAAAAUUUGCUUGAGGUGGGAUACAAAAAGGUGUAUUUUAGGGCACGAGAAAAUGAGUGUUUCCAAAAGUUACCCUAAAAUGGGGCACUAAAUAGGACACCAUUGCUCCAACAGCGGCCAUAAAAAUAGGGCAGCCGCACCACAUCUUUCUUCUCCACAUAUGGAUAGAAUUUAAACUUUGCAAGAUUUCCUUGAGUGUUUUCUCCACCAACAGCUGAUCACAAAAUUCAACUACUAAAUUUGAGUGUCUUCUCCACCAACGGCUGCUCACAAAAUUCCACUACUAAAUCCAAAUUUAAAGGGAUGACCGAUAAAAUCAAAGUAGAUACUAAAUUUGAAUGUCUUCUUUUAAUUUCUUUGUAUUGCACACAACUACACACCAAACUGACCUGGGAUACAAUCUCAGCGAAUAACAAACGAAAUUGACAAGUUCCUUUGUAACUUUCUUCAGAAAAAGGAACACUGAAAGUCUGAAGUUUCUGAAAACUAACACUGCAUCUUGGCCUCGUACACUUUCUUCACAAAAAGGAACGCUGAAAAACCGAACUUUACUGAUGAAUUCAAUCGGGGAAAGCAGCGGCGCAUUCCAGCAGCACCUCCACGACCCGUACAAACUCCAGCAACACAUUCUGCAGCACCACCACACAAACCACUAACUAGCCACCAGGCUUCCAUUUAGCUUUGUACUCCCUCUGUAAACUAAUACAAAAUCAUUUAGAUCACUAGAGGGAAUAUAUGCCAAAGGAGUUUGGAAGAGGGCUAACUUGUUUUUAUUUGGAAACGCAAAGGUGAAUCUAACUUCCUUUUUUUUUUGGCAAAACAAAAUAACUACACUAUCGUGCUGCAAUCAGCAACAAAAUUGGUCCUACACAGACAAUUCAGCUCAAUUCACUCCAUUAAAGAAUUUCAAGUCAUAGUACUGAGAAAUUUCCACUUUAAAGGAACCGAAACAUCCCCACCAUGCAACCCGGUAGAAAUGCAUUUCUACUACUCCCUCUGUUCCUAAAUAUAAGUCUUUUUAGAGAUUUCAAUGCAGACUAUAUACGGAGUAAAAUGAGUGAAUCUACAUUCUAAAAUAUGUCCAUAUACAUUUGUAUGUAGUUCGUAUUGGAAUCUCUAAAAGGACUUAUAUUUAGGAACGGAGGGAGUAUAUGAAACGAUCCUACAUGCUCAGCCCACAACAACGGGAAGCGCCGAUCCGCACUAGCCCGGGGUCACCACAAUUGCAUUCGAGAACUUAGCCUCUGGCCUCGACGACGAUAUUGGAGAAGGCGUCGGAGCGUAAGCCCUUUGUCUGGAUGUCCUGGCAAAGCUCCGCCACCACAUGGAGCUCGCUCAGCUUGGCCAUGGUGUGGCCGGAGCCGAAUCUUGCAGGGACAAAGACCAAAUCGGACUCAGGUAAGAGGGGACGGGAUGAGGGGCGUCAGAGUUGGGGAGGCAUCAGCCGGCGGUGAUGCUCGCAGGAGCAGAGGCAGGAAGGGCGCGUGGGAAACACCCAACCGACGGUUUUGCCACAGCAGCCCAAGUGUAGAGUUGGGGGAGGCAUCAGCCGGCGAUGAUGCUCGCAGGUACAGAGGCUGGAAGGGCGCAUGGGAAAUGCCCAUAGCAGCCCAAGUCUCAAAUCUGCAGUACUGUUUUAUAUUUUUGGGCAGCCCUGAAAAAUUUGGAGCAAAUUUUACAUUAAGGGCAGCUAUUGGAGCAUCCUUUUUUGCCUAAUGCUCCAAGUUGAUGGUGAGUAUAGGUGUUUACACAAAUCAUCGUUUCAAUACGGAUGCAAGUCUUACAACAAUAGUUUCAAGCACAAUUGAAAAAUCUGUCAGGCAGAUUAACUGUCCUACACAAUCAGAAGCAAUUUGCUUGGCUUUAUCAUUUCUAAUACAUGCAUUGUAAUAUUUCAACCAUUCAGAAGGCAUAACAGAUAUUAAUCAUCUAAAAUUUUAGAAACAUAUAGCAUCAUCGCAUCACAAAAAAGAUGAGACGCCGCAAAAUUAAUAGGUGCAUAAAAUUCAGUCACAAACACAUAUAAUCCCCACAUUACAUAAAACUCUGUCUUGGAACAUAACCAGACUAGAAUUAAACAGCUAAAUUGGACAUAACACAGGUUAAACAGCUUCCACAGCCAUAGCAGCAAACACGCCAGGAAUCACUAGACCAUGCCGUCAUCCCUCGGUGCCUGGCAGCCUGGAUGUAGGAUGAUGCUUCCGCUGCUCCAAGGCGCCUACUUGGAUCGCUGCCUCAUCUUUCGGCGCUUCCUCUUGAGCCUCCUCAUCCUCUUCUUCUUCCACUGCAAAUUACAGUAACCAUGCCGAUCAUGAGCAUAAAUUGCAUAGGUGCUCUAUAGGAGAUGCAAAAGGAACACAGAAAGUACAACUUGUUCUGGAAUCAGAAGAUUGAGUGUUUCAUUGGAUAUCAUCACGUGAUUUUCAGAAACACGGACCAAUUGCUCUUCAUCAUUUCCCAAACUGAAGUCAAUUUCAAAGGCAAACAGGAAAAAAACGAUGAUAAGAUAUCUAAAGAACUAGCUAAGCAAAGUAUAGAUCUGCAGUGGGUUUGACAUUCAGAAUGAGUAGGAGGAUUUUAUCAUCAAAUAGAUCAGACGCCAAUUGUCUUCCUCAUCACGCCAACCGACGCAGUUGAACGAAAGAAAGAACAAAUCUAGGAAAAACACUGGCAAAGAAAACACUGUUCUCUCAGACAAAUGCCUCGAUUGUCCACAUGGUUUUAUAGAAUGGAUUACAUCGGACUCGUCAUCUGUUUUCAUCAUCACAGAGAACCACAAACAAACACGCGCAAAAAAUAUCAAUUCAGUCAACAGAAACUACAUCCUAGUAUCUCUCAGAAUAAGCAAAUCGAACUAGAAUAGCAGGUUCUCUCGGACAAAUUUGCCUCAUUUUUGUCCCCACGGUUGAAUGGAAUGGAUUGGAUCGGACAUCUAAUCAGUGUUAAUCAUCACCGAGAACCACUAAUUACGCGAGCGAGCGGCAGAAACAGCAGGAACGAACGCUCGAUAAACACUAGCACAUGCCCAGAUCUACCGCAGUCGCGAAGCAGCUAACAUCAGGGGAGGUGGACGAGAGGCAGUACGAACCUUGGCCCUCAUCGCGGCGGCGGAGUCGGCCUCGCUCUCCUUUUCGCGUCGUCGGCGGCGGCGGCGGAAGUGUGUGGACGAACCCGAUCUCCGUAGAUUGUUGGCGGCGGGGGCUCUCACCUCCUACUUUAUAGGGGGGUAGGGUGCUGGGAAGGGGAAACCCUAGCGGGUGGACGGCUCGGAUCAGCCACGGGACGGCGUUCUGAUCCGAUUCGGUUGGGCUCUGGUUCGUAGGCAUAAUUGGGCCUCCAAACCAACGCCUCGGCCCACGCUCACGUACAAAGAUGAUGAGUCUUCUGACACUCAAAAAAAUAAUUAGUAGAUAAUGAGUAUUCUCACCCCUAAAAAAAAAUUAAAAAGAUAAUGAGUAUUCUCUUCACCUUUUUAAACAAAAACUGGAUAUUCUCGCCUGAUCAGUUCUGCUAAAACGAUUGUCUCAAAAAAUAGUUCAGCUAAAAGGAAAAAAGAAUUUAUCAAAAAAAAAAAGAUGAUGAAAAGCACUCAUUGCUCGACUGAUUGAUAUCUCCAUGUGUUGAUGUAGUUUUGUCACACUUCAUGAGAAGAUCUUAUUAUAGCUAUUUGUCUGAACCAUUUUUUACUUUACUUGGACACGGUUUGCCUGAACCUUAAGGGGUUGAAUUUUGCACCAGCAUAUGGCCCUCCAUAUUGACCAGAUCGCAACAAAUCGUUUACAGCGACAAGGUGGAGAUAAAGGAAUUGAUGAGAACGCAGAAACAUAUAUGUAACAACAACAUAAAAAGACAAUCACAGCCCUCAGAAUUCAUAAUUGCAUAAGAUUCACUCAUGCGAACAUAUAUAGACAUAAAACUCGCCAGAGAAAACCUCAUACAUCAGAAACAGCCCAUAAGACAGCAAGCAUAGACCUCACUUAGAUUCAUUCCCUCGGGAUUAAUCACAAACCAUCUCACUGACACUGUCCACACUUAGGCAUUUUACCAGUCCUGCCUAGAUAAGUUAUCAUAUCUGUCCACCAACAGCAUAUAAACAGCAGCAGCGAAGGUCAAAUUAUACCAAUCGGUGCACAGGACAUUCAUGUCAACAGUAUGGCAGCACCUCAGAUUAAAAGGGGAUUCAAGCCACAAAAGAUCAUUUUGCCAAGUCGGUCCUUGCUCAAAUGCCAGAUAAAGGGGUUUGGAUACAUUAGAAGGUCUGGUCAAUUCAACUCAUAACAUCAAAAACAUCAAGACAAGUAGUAAUAGUUCUUGACCACAACGACUCCAGAUAGGUGAAAGCAAUCUAGAAGAGAGACGUUCCCUUGCCCUUCUUGUCUCCACCGAUCUCAAAAUGCUUGCACCGCUGCACAUAGGAAUAAAGACAGACUGAGCAAAGCACAAUGGAAUGAAAACAAAUGUUCAGUCAGUUCAUCAGGAAAGGAACAAACCUUGAUGGCGCGCUGGGAGUAGUGCUUGCAGCUCUGGCACUGCAGCUUCAGCACAAUCUUCUUGGUGGUUUUUGCCUGAAGAAAAAGGUCACAAAAUCAUCAUUGCACAACUGGCUUUAAUCUCUAUCUGAUUUUACACUAAACAGACACACCAUAAGUAGAUGGCAAUAAAAUUGAUAGACAAAUCAGAUCGAUUGACAAUCACACGCAAAGAUGUUGCCGUACCUUCUUGUGGAAAACGGGCUUGGUCUGACCACCGUAUCCCGACUGCUUCCUGUCAUAACGACGCUUUCCCUGGGCAGACAGGCUGUCCUUACCCUUCUUGUAUUGAGUGACCUUGUGAAGCGUGUGCUUCUUGCACUCCUUGUUUUUGCAGUAGGUUUUCUUGGUCUUCGGAACGUUCACCUAUUUAGCAUUCGCAACAAAACUAAUGUUAAAACAGGGUUUGUGUGAAACUGCAUACAGUUUCAGAUGACACUGCAAUAGCUAAAAAGUAGCUCUAGAAACAAGUUCAGUAAAUGUUCAAGAAAUACUCAGAAAGCCACUAGUACAAUAAACAAUUAGGUCCUCAGAAACAUGCUUAUGGUUGUCAUCACAAGGAUAAUCAGGUCUCAAAUAUUUCAUGCCAUCAUAGGACCCCUUAAUUAAAAUAGCAAACAUUAAACAGUAAGAAUUGAAAUUGCAGCAUUACUUGCAUAACAAAAAUAAUAUUAUCACGUGGUAAGAAAGAAGUAAUUAAUGGUAGAUGGUCUGCUCGGGGCAAUACAUGCAAAUAAUGGCUGUAAGUUUAGUUUUAGGUUAGCUAAGUACACAAAAAGUUCGGAUGUCAAACACACCAAACAAAAUCACUAAUAUUCCACAAUAUGGCCAACCGCAGUGGGUUUUAGAUGUAUCAUGUAAUAUGAAGUUGCAUGAAGCACGUUCACAAUAUUACAGAAUGAAAGAUGCAUAAAUACAAACUAUAGUCGAUCUAAACACAAAAUAAAAACUAGAUUAGACUUGUUUCUGACACGACGAGCUAUCCAUUUCAUCUUUGGAAAAAGGCCAGCUGCCUGAUAUAAACUAGUACACCAGUUUACAUAUUUAAAGCACAUCUCAUACACAGUAACUAGAAACCUAGAGCAGUACUAAAUUAAGGUAAAAUACAGCUCAUCGGUGCACAAAAAUGCAGUGUGCACAUAGAGAAUAUAAUUCAAUUCUGUGCUUUUAGAAAUCAGAAGCAUCGAGUGUUUUAUUGGACAUCAUCACAUGGUUUUCAGAAACAUGGACCAAUUGUUCUUUAUCAUUUCAUUUUCCAAACUGAAGUUAAUUUCAUAGGCAAAGAGGAAACAACUAUUCUAUGGUAUCUACACAACUAGUUCAGCAAAGCAGAUCUGCAGUCGGUUUGACCGUUUGACAUUUAGUAUGAGUAGGACGAUUCAUCAUCAAAUAGAUCAGACAACAAUUUCCUUCCUCAUCAUGCCGGCGACACAAUUAUACAAAAAAACAGUGGAGAAAAUGUGCUAAGGAAAUGGCUAAGCAAACAAUGUUCCCUCAGACAAAUGCCUCGAUAGUCCACAUGGGUAACUGAAUGGAUUACAUCAGACUCGUCAUCUGUGUUCAUCAUCACAGAGAACUACCAAAAAAAGCGCUCUAAUCUCACAUAAUAAGCACAUGGUAGAAUUCAAGCAGCAGCAGCAGCAGCAGCAGCAUGACAAGGCAAAAGCAUAACACAGCCAGUGUUCUCUCAGACAAAUGCCUCGUUUUGUCCCCAUGUUUUAGUGGAAUGGAUUGGGUCGGACACCUAAUCGGUGGUGAUCAUCACGGAGAACCCACAAGCACCAGCGCGUGAGCCGCAGAGAAAAAUAGGCAACAAUUGGUAAACACGAGCGCAUCUACCGCAGUCGCAAAGUGAUCCUCUAGCAGGAAAUCGCAUCCUAAGGUAGGUGGACGGGGGAGGAGCACAGGCGGGGUACAAACCAUGGCGGCGGCGGCGGCGGUGCGGUGCUCGCGCUCGGUCGGUUAGCGUCGUCGUCGUCGUCGUCGGCGGCGGAAGCGUGUGGAAGAUUGGCGGCGGAGGCUCUCGCCUCCUUCUUAUAGGGUUUGGGUGCUGCGGAGGUGGACGGCUCAGAUCAGAUCGGCCGCUGCACGCAGUGAUCCGGUCGCGUCUCUGGUUGGUGGGCCUAAUGGGCCGUCAAACCGACUCCUAGGCCCAUGCUCACAUAGGAUGAGAUGACGGGUCGGCAGCUCUGUUCUGAACUUCUCAUCGGUUUUCCAGAGGAGUUCGCUGGGCGAGAUGACCUGCGGCGGCCUCCCCGGCUCGCCGGCGCCGGCGCCGAUGCCGGCGGUGGCGGCCCCGCUGGAGGACGAGAACCUCCUCCCGGAGAUCCUCGUCCGCCUAGCCCCACUCCCAUCCGCCCUCCCGCGCGCCUCCCUCGUCUGCAAGCGCUGGCGCCGCCUCGUCACCGACCGCCGCUUCGUGCGCCGCUUCCGCGCGCACCACCUCGGCGGCCCGCCUCCGCUGAUCGGCUUCUUCGAGGAGGUCACCCGCAAGCCCGACCCCCACAACCCCGCCCCGGGCGACCCCAACGUCCUCUCCUUCACCCCUAUCCUGGAUCACCCCGACCGCGUCCCGGUCGGGCGCUUCUCCCUGCACCUACACGACGGCCACGGCCGCUCGAACAUCGGCUGCCGCGACGGCCUCGUGCUCCUCAUCUACCCGGCGGGCUUCGACAUCGAGGUCCUCGUGUGGGACCCCGUCACCGGCGACCAGCACCGCUUCCUCAUCCCCUGGGUGAUCGACGACGGCCAGGGCACCGAGAUCUUAAACGGGGCGGUCCUUCGCACCGCCGGAAUCCUCGACGAUCGCCCCUUCCGGUUCCAGGCGGUCUUGACCGGCGUCGACGGGCAGAACAAGCGGCUGUUCGCCUGCGUUUACUCGUCCGAGACCGGCAAAUGGGGCGAUCCAAUCUGGGUAUCCGCGGAUUUUACGAGCGGCGUAACCACCAUGAUUGAGAUGCGUGUUUCCAGUACCAUGGUUGGGAAUUCCCUCUACUGGUCCCUUUGCUCAAUUGGUUGGGAGGUAGCUGCCAUCCUUCAGUUUGAUUUGGAUACACAACACCUGGCUGUCAUACACUUACCCUGCUUGGGUAAGUGUAGUAGGAAUGGCAGCCGGACCUUCCGGGCUGUGCCCGUGGACGGCGGUGAGCUUGGCGUCCUUGAGCUGUUUGACGCCAACCUCCAGUUGUGGAAAAGGAAGAUCGACCGUGACGGUGUUGUUUCAUGGGUGCUGGAGAAGACUAUUGGAUUGGAGGAACUUCUUUAUAUAGAUAAAAGGAAAAUGGGCCCAAUGAUGCUCGGGUAUUGCGAGGACAAUAAUGUGGUGUUUAUAUGGACAUAUCACGGUAUUUUCAUGGUCCAGCUUGAGUCACUGGAAGUGUACAAGCCUCCCAUACAGACAUUUUACUGUUUGGUUCAUCCAUUCACAAGUGUCUACACUGCAGGUAAUAACUAAGUAAUUUUCUAUAAUUGAUUGAUGAAAAGUUUUUCACAUCCUUGUUGUUAGACUAAUAAUACAAACUAAAUGUCUGUCAACUGUUUUUUUGCUGCUCAAUGGGCUAUUUGAAUACAUAACCAUAUUGUUCAUGAUAGUAUUAUUAUUAUGAUUGUCUAACUAUGUGGUUCAUGUCAGAGGUAGCAAGCAUUUUGUGUUAAGUCUAUUUGAUGAAAAAAAUAUUGUUAUGCAAAAGCCAUAUGAUGCCAGUGAUUUACUUUCCCUCGAGAUUAAUACCAGCUGGAAACAGGAAAACUAAGCUUGAACCAGCUGCGACAGUGAAAUGCCCAAUUGGGUAGCUCAAUUGUCACAUCUAAAGGCUUAAAACUAGGGAUCCCUUAAAACUAGUUAUAUCCUUUGGUCCAUUUUUUGUUUAUAGUGAUCUUGCUAACCUAAAUCCAUAAUAAAAGCUUGGUUUGGUCUUGACAAGAUAAUAGUUCAUUUUUAUCACUUAUUGAAGAUUCGCAAGCGUCAGAGUCUAUUUGUACCAGAGGAUAAAUGAAUUGAGUCUGUUUUAUCUUUUCAAGCUAAAGUUAUUUAAAUAUGAAUUGUCGUUAUUUCUUUGUUCUUAAAAUUUAUUGGUUUGAAUACAUUAUACAUUGUCAACUUCAGAUAACACAGG
This 14738-nucleotide long non-coding RNA is filed under the name Triticum aestivum (bread wheat). Its description in RNAcentral is "long non-coding RNA (TAES_LNC009235)". The record is from RNAcentral. Lineage: Eukaryota; Viridiplantae; Streptophyta; Magnoliopsida; Poales; Poaceae.